Molecule: ribosomal RNA, 460 nt
Filed under: uncultured bacterium
Lineage: Bacteria
Description: partial 16S ribosomal RNA
Rfam family: Bacterial small subunit ribosomal RNA
Source: RNAcentral
CCUACGGGCGGCAGCAGUGAGGAAUAUUGGUCAAUGGUCGCGAGCCUGAACCAGCCAAGUCGCGUGAAGGAUGACUGCCCUGCGGAUUGUAAACUUCUUUUAUCAGGGAAUAAAGUCAGGCACGCGUGCCUUUUUGUAUGUACUUUAUGAAUAAGGAUCGGCUAACUCCGUGCCAGCAGCCGCGGUAAUACGGAGGAUCCGAGCGUUAUCCGGAUUUAUUGGGUUUAAAGGGUGCGGAGAGGGGUUGUUAAGUCAGUUGUGAAAGUUUGCGGCUCAACCGUAACAUUGCAGUUGAUACUGGCAGUCUUGAGUACAGUUGAGGUAGGCGGAAUGCGUGGUGUAGCGGUGAAAUGCAUAGAUAUCACGAAGAACUCCGAUUGCGAAGGCAGCAUACCAAACCGCCACUGACAUUGAUGCUCGAAAGUGUGGGUAUCAAACAGGAUUAGAUACCCCAGUAGUC